UAGGGAAUCUUCGGCAAUGGGGGGAACCCUGACCGAGCAACGCCGCGUGAGUGAAGAAGGUUUUCGGAUCGUAAAGCUCUGUUGUUAAGGAAGAACGAGUGUGAGAAUGGAAAGUUCAUACUGUGACGGUACUUAACCAGAAAGGGACGGCUAACUACGUGCCAGCAGCCGCGGUAAUACGUAGGUCCCGAGCGUUGUCCGGAUUUAUUGGGCGUAAAGCGAGCGCAGGCGGUUAGAUAAGUCUGAAGUUAAAGGCAGUGGCUCAACCAUUGUAGGCUUUGGAAACUGUUGAACUUGAGUGCAGAAGGGGGAAGUGGAAUUCCAUGUGUAGCGGUGAAAUGCGUAGAUAUAUGGAGGAACACCGGUGGCGAAAGCGGCUCUCUGGUCUGUAACUGACGCUGAGGCUCGAAAGCGUGGGGAGCGAACAGG
RNAcentral lists this ribosomal RNA (429 nucleotides) under Bacteroidota bacterium. RNAcentral's name for it is "Bacteroidetes bacterium partial 16S ribosomal RNA". It matches the Rfam family "Bacterial small subunit ribosomal RNA", at positions 355 to 776 of the family's 1533-position model. Lineage: Bacteria; Pseudomonadati; Bacteroidota. The record is from RNAcentral.